CUCAGGGUAGCUCAGUUGGUAGAGCAGGCGCACCAUGCGCAGAGGCUAUAGUCAUUGAUGCAUUUGUCUUGGGUUCAAUUCCUGAUCUUGGGC
Non-coding RNA from Ataeniobius toweri, 93 nucleotides. Lineage: Eukaryota; Metazoa; Chordata; Actinopteri; Cyprinodontiformes; Goodeidae. The record is from the annotation of a GenBank genome assembly.